Molecule: ribosomal RNA, 569 nt
Filed under: Bradyrhizobium sp.
Lineage: Bacteria; Pseudomonadati; Pseudomonadota; Alphaproteobacteria; Hyphomicrobiales; Nitrobacteraceae
Description: bacterial SSU rRNA
Rfam family: Bacterial small subunit ribosomal RNA
Source: RNAcentral
GCAGUCCUGCGGGCAAUGCAUUAUGUCAGCGGCAGACGGGUGAGUAACGCGUGGGAACGUCCCUUGUGGUUCGGAACACCGCAGGGAAACUUCACUAAUCCCGGAUAACCCCUUACGGGGAAAAAUUUUUCGCCCAAAGAUCGGCCCGCGUCUGAUUAACUAGUUGGUGAGGGAAUGGCUCACCCAGGCGACCAUCAGUACCUGGUCCGAGAGGAUGAUCCGCCCCCUUGGGACUGAGACCCGGCCCAAACUCCUACGGGAAGCAGCAGUGGGGAAUAUUGGACAAUGGGCGCAAGCCUGAUCCACCCAUGCCGCGUGAGUGAUGAAGGCCCUCCGGUUGUGAACCUCUUUUGUGCGGGAAGAUAAUGACAGUGCCCCAGGAGUAUGCCCCGGCUGUCUUUGUGCCCCGCACCCCAGGUAAUACGAAAGGGGGCUAGCGUUGCUCCGACUCAUUGGGGGGCAAGGGUGCGUAGUCUGGUCUUCAAAGCGGGGGUGAAAUCCUGGAGCUCAACUCCUGAACUGCCCUUGGUACAGAAGACAUUGCGUUCCGGAGAGGUGAGUGGAACUGC